CUUGAGGUGCCAGAGUGGUUUAAUGGGAUAGAUUGCAAAUCUAUUAAUUCGUAGGUUCAAAUCCUACCCUCAAGUCA
This 77-nucleotide transfer RNA is filed under the name Crassvirales sp. RNAcentral describes it as "tRNA-Cys". It matches the Rfam family "tRNA". From Rfam's summary of the family: Transfer RNA (tRNA) molecules are approximately 80 nucleotides in length. Lineage: Duplodnaviria; Heunggongvirae; Uroviricota; Caudoviricetes; Crassvirales. The record is from RNAcentral.